GCGCCCAGGGAACCGGCGGAGGCGAUGACCGUGACGGCUGGGUUGGGACCGGAACGCCGAAGCGGGGUUGGGGGUGGCAGAAAAGCAUCUGCUUUGUAAGACCUACACGAGGUGCAGGAGUGGUUGGGCCUCCCCUCUCCACUUAAGCAAGCGCCCAGACUGAUGGCGAUGGUGAUGGCAGCAGUUACUCGCACAACCCCAGUUAAGCUGCGCUCCGGGAGUUCAUCUGUUGUCUGCUCUCCAGUGACUUCCGUUUGUGGAGCCUAAGUGUUUCUACAGAAUCCAACUCAAAUAUCAAGGACUAUGAUCAGAAUGCUUUCAAGGAGUUUUUGGGCACAUGAUGGCAGAUACAUCCAGAAAGUGCCCAGAAGAAACUUCCUGCUG
This 384-nucleotide long non-coding RNA is filed under the name Homo sapiens (human). RNAcentral describes it as "HSALNT0211271". The record is from RNAcentral. Lineage: Eukaryota; Metazoa; Chordata; Mammalia; Primates; Hominidae.